UGGGGAAUAUUGGACAAUGGGCGCAAGCCUGACCCAGCAACGCCGCGUGAAGGAUGAAGUAUUUCGGUAUGUAAACUUCGAAAGAAUAGGAAGAAUAAAUGACGGUACUAUUUAUAAGGUCCGGCUAACUACGUGCCAGCAGCCGCGGUAAUACGUAGGGACCAAGCGUUGUUCGGAUUUACUGGGCGUAAAGGGUGCGUAGGCGGCAAUUCAAGUCAUCUGUGAAAUCUCCGGGCUUAACUCGGAACGGUCAGAUGAUACUGCUUUGCUAGAGUGCAGAAGGGGCAAUCGGAAUUCUUGGUGUAGCGGUGAAAUGCGUAGAUAUCAAGAGGAACACCUGAGGUGAAGACGGGUUGCUGGGCUGACACUGACGCUGAGGCGCGAAAGCCAGGGGAGCAAACGGGAUUAGAUACCCCAGUAGUCCCUGAGCGGGCUGGCAAGGCGCAU
Molecule: ribosomal RNA, 447 nt
Filed under: uncultured bacterium
Lineage: Bacteria
Description: bacterial SSU rRNA
Rfam family: Bacterial small subunit ribosomal RNA
Source: RNAcentral